Populus nigra (black poplar) is the source of this 998-nucleotide RNA transcript. It is a transcript of the gene named co-chaperone protein p23-2-like, with no coding region annotated. The record is from RefSeq and is a predicted model, not a curated record. The transcript is spliced from 7 exons. Lineage: Eukaryota; Viridiplantae; Streptophyta; Magnoliopsida; Malpighiales; Salicaceae.
AGCAGGCAAAGACACAGUAGUCGUCUUCUUUGUAGGGUUUUACUGUUGGCUACUGUCCUCUCCCAUUACCCUCAAACGACCACUCGUUUCCGCCAUCAGUCACCCGCCCUCCAUAGAAACAAUGAGUCGGCACCCUGAGGUUCUGUGGGCUCAGAGAUCAGACAAGGUUUACUUGACGAUUGCAUUACCUGAUGCUAAAGACGUAUCAGUGAAAUGUGAAGGUGGAGGGUUAUUUAGUUUCUCUGCUGUUGGGGUUCAAGGCGAAUCCUUUGAUUUCAGUUUGGAACUCUUUGGAAACAUUGUUCCUGAGGGUUCUAAAACUAAGGUUGGGUUGAGGAACAUUAUAUGCUCAAUCCAGAAAGAAGAGAAAGUCUGGUGGAAAAGGCUGUUAAAAUCUGAUGGGAAGCCUGCUCCUUACAUUAAGGUGGAUUGGAACAAGUGGUUUGAUGAGGAUGAUGAAAAGUCAGCUUCUGAUGCCUCUGAUGACAAUAAUGCUGGGUAUGAAAAAGAUGAUGGGAGCAGUGAGGAUGAAGGAAUGCUUUAUCUUCCUGAUCUUGAGAAGGCAAGGGGAAAUUGAUGACAAUCAAGGAUCAGUGUUGUUAAUGACAUGGAAUUGGAGUUCCAGGGAUCACAGAACUGCAUCAAUUAUAGGUGCCAAACUGCAAAUUUUCUUUCAAUUAAAAGGGACUUGAAGCUUAGAAGUGGGCACAACCAUUCAGUGUUCCGCUGAGAUCAAAUUGAAUUGAUGAUUUACUAGCAAUGUAGAUUUAUUUAUUUAAGUGUCUCAGUAACAAGCUCACAUGGCUGGAAAGAAAAUUAGGCAAUCGGAAUAAACAAUGCAUGUAGUUUUUCCAGGAACUUCAAUUCUUGUAUAGCAGAUGCCCUUUUUGGGUAAAAAUUAAGUAGAAUUCAGCCAAAAAGAUUUAUAAAAUCCCUCAAAUUGUAUUCCAAAAUUAACCAUUCGGUUACCUAAUUACAAUUAAAUUCAAAUUUGCUUA